UGGGAAUUUGGACAAUGGGCGAAGCCUGAUCCAGCAAUGCCGCGUGUGUGAAGAAGGCCUUCGGGUUGUAAAGCACUUUUGUCCGGAAAGAAAUCCUUGGCUCUAAUACAGUCGGGGGAUGACGGUACCGGAAGAAUAAGCACCGGCUAACUACGUGCCAGCAGCCGCGGUAAUACGUAGGGUGCAAGCGUUAAUCGGAAUUACUGGGCGUAAAGCGUGCGCAGGCGGUUUGCUAAGACCGAUGUGAAAUCCCCGGGCUCAACCUGGGAACUGCAUUGGUGACUGGCAGGCUAGAGUAUGGCAGGAGGGGGGUUAGAAUUCCACGUGUAGCAGUGAAAUGCGUAGAGAUGUGGAGGAAUACCGAUGGCGAAGGCAGCCCCCUGGGCCAAUACUGACGCUCAUGCACGAAAGCGUGGGGAGCAAAACAGGAUUAGAUACCCUGGUAGUCCACGCCCUAAAACGAUGUCAACUAGUUGUUGGGGAUUCAUUUCCUUAGUAACGUAGCUAACGCGUGAAGUUGACCGCCUGGGGAGUACGGUCGCAAGAUU
This 548-nucleotide ribosomal RNA is filed under the name uncultured bacterium. Its description in RNAcentral is "partial 16S ribosomal RNA". It matches the Rfam family "Bacterial small subunit ribosomal RNA", at positions 357 to 895 of the family's 1533-position model. The record is from RNAcentral.